GUGCUUACUUCAGCAGUGCGUGCACUAAAAUGGAAAUGACACAGAGAAGAUUAGCAUGGCCCCUGAGCAAGGAUGACAGGCAGAUUCGUGAAGCGUUCCAUAUUUUU
Small nuclear RNA from Camelus dromedarius (Arabian camel), 107 nucleotides. The record is from Ensembl. Lineage: Eukaryota; Metazoa; Chordata; Mammalia; Artiodactyla; Camelidae.